Non-coding RNA from Nomascus leucogenys (northern white-cheeked gibbon), 676 nucleotides. The record is from RefSeq and is a predicted model, not a curated record. NCBI's taxonomy places the organism in Eukaryota, Metazoa, Chordata, Mammalia, Primates, Hylobatidae.
GCACGCUGCCACGCCGACGCAGACCCCUCUCUGCACGCCAGCCCGCCCGCACCCACCAUGGCCACAGUUCAGCAGCUGGAAGGAAGAUGGCGCCUGGUGGACAGCAAAGGCUUUGAUGAAUACAUGAAGGAGCUAGGAGUGGGAAAAGCUUUGCGAAAAAUGGGGGCAAUGGCCAAGCCAGAUUGUAUCAUCACUUGUGAUGGCAAAAACCUCACCAUAAAAACUGAGAGCACUUUGAAAACAGCACAGUUUUCUUGUACCCUGGGAGAGAAGUUUGAAGAAACAACAGCUGAUGGCAGAAAAACUCAGACUGUCUGCAACUUUACAGAUGGUGCAUUGGUUCAGCAUCAGGAGUGGGAUGGGAAGGAAAGCACAAUAACCAGAAAAUUGAAAGAUGGGAAAUUAGUGGUGGAGUGUGUCAUGAACAAUGUCACCUGUAAUCGGAUCUAUGAAAAAGUAGAAUAAAAAUUCCAUCAUCACUUUGGACAGGAGUUAACUAAGAGAAUGACCAAGCUCAGUUCAAUGAGCAAAUCUCCAUAAUGUUUCUUUCUUUUUUUUUUUCAUUACUGUGUUCAAUUAUCUUUAUCACAAACAUUUUACAUGCAGCUAUUUCAAAGUGUGUUGGAUUAAUUAGGAUCAUCCCUUUGGUUAAUAAAUAAAUGUGUUUGUGCUAAUA